AAUUUAUUUUUCAGUUACACGCAUCCAACAUAAAAUUACCUACCCAAUACCAUAUUCCAAUACAUCCUAAAUGACGCACAUCAUGAUUUCCAACGAUAAAAUUUAAUAUUAUGCCCAAAAGAGGUAAAAACAAAAAAAAUCAGCGUAAUAUUACACCAUAAUCAGUAAUAUCACUUCAUAAAACAUGCUGUAGAAUGUCAACAAAGCAAGCUUCCCGCUAACUGUCAGUCUUCGUUCCACUCGCAUCCAAAAACUUUGUUCGUGGAAUAUUUUAAAGAUUUAGAUUCCAAUAAAGUUUAGGAACAGUGUCCUUUCAGCCCCGGAUAGAGACAAAAUGAAGUCCUUGCUGAAUAUGAACCGCAAACAACCAAAUGGAUGCAGUGGAGCGGUGAAAAAAUAAAGAACGGAGGAGGUGCGAUAAGUCGGCAGAUACGUUGCUACCCGCGGCAAACCGGCACCGAAUGAAAUUCUGCAGAUACAAAAUUGUCAUCGCUUCUCGGAUGUGAAACGUGCACUUCAUACCGAACCAAAGUGUCGGGAUCAUGGCCCCAUUUGUUCAAAGCAUGCUGGAUGUUGAAGGAGGAUGCCGGAUGAUGUCCGUUCAGAAUGAAAUUGAUAGAACGCUUC
This is a long non-coding RNA of Armigeres subalbatus, 627 nucleotides long. RefSeq lists it as uncharacterized. The record is from RefSeq and is a predicted model, not a curated record. NCBI's taxonomy places the organism in Eukaryota, Metazoa, Arthropoda, Insecta, Diptera, Culicidae. The transcript has 3 exons.